UGGGGAAUAUUGCGCAAUGGGCGAAAGCCUGACGCAGCGACGCCGCGUGUGGGAUGACGGCCUUCGGGUUGUAAACCACUGUCGGGAGGGACGAAUGCGCCGCAAGGCGAGUGACGGUACCUCCAAAGGAAGCACCGGCUAACUCCGUGCCAGCAGCCGCGGUAAUACGGAGGGUGCGAGCGUUGUCCGGAAUCACUGGGCGUAAAGGGCGCGUAGGCGGCCUGAUAAGUAGGGGGUGAAAUCCUGCGGCUUAACCGCAGGGCUGCCUUCUAAACUGUCAGGCUCGAGCACAGUAGAGGCAGGUGGAAUUCCCGGUGUAGCGGUGGAAUGCGUAGAGAUCGGGAAGAACAUCAGUGGCGAAGGCGGCCUGCUGGGCUGUUGCUGACGCUGAGGCGUGACAGCGUGGGGAGCAAACAGGAUUAGAUACCCUGGUAGUCCACGCCGUAAACGAUGGACACUAGGCGUCGGGGGGAGCGACCUCCCGGUGCCGUCGCUAACG
RNAcentral lists this ribosomal RNA (499 nucleotides) under uncultured bacterium. Its description in RNAcentral is "bacterial SSU rRNA". It matches the Rfam family "Bacterial small subunit ribosomal RNA", at positions 355 to 857 of the family's 1533-position model. The record is from RNAcentral.